CCAAUAGCGUAUAUUAAAGUUGUUGCAGUUAAAAAGCUCGUAGUUGAAUUUCGGGAUCAAUAUGUCGGUCGUGCCUUCGGUACGUACUGGCGUCAUUGAUUUCUCCCUUCUGACGAACCACGAUGUCAUUAAUUUGGUGUCAUGGGGAGUCAGGACUGUUACUUUGAAAAAAUUAGAGUGUUUAAAGCAGGCUCACGCUUGAAUACAUUAGAAUGGAAUAAUGAAAUAGGACGUUUGACCCUAUUUUGUUGGUUUCUAGGAUCAACGUAAUGAUUAAUAGGGAUAGUUGGGUGCCUUAGUAUUCAAUUGUCAGAGGUGAAUUUCUUGGAUUUAUUGAAGACUAACUACUGCGAAAGCAUUUGCCAAGGAUGUUUUCAUUAAUCAAGAACGAAAGUUAGGGGAUCGAAGACGAUCAGAUACCGUCGUAGUCUUAACCAUAAACUAUGCCGACUAGGGAUCGUAUGAUGUUAAUUUUUUAAUGACUCAUUCGGCGCCUUACG
Molecule: ribosomal RNA, 500 nt
Filed under: uncultured Glomeromycotina
Lineage: Eukaryota; Fungi; Glomeromycota
Description: partial small subunit ribosomal RNA
Rfam family: Eukaryotic small subunit ribosomal RNA
Source: RNAcentral